RNAcentral lists this unclassified non-coding RNA (248 nucleotides) under uncultured Helotiales. RNAcentral describes it as "sequence contains 5.8S rRNA gene". The stretch from base 1 to 53 matches the Rfam family "5.8S ribosomal RNA", at positions 102 to 154 of the family's 154-position model. Lineage: Eukaryota; Fungi; Ascomycota; Leotiomycetes; Helotiales. The record is from RNAcentral.
GAACGCACAUUGCGCCCUUUGGUAUUCCGAAGGGCAUGCCUGUUCGAGCGUCAUUUCAAACCUCAAGCUCACGCUUGGUCUUGGGCGCCGUCCGCGAGGGCGCGCCAGAAACCCGUAGGCAGUGGUGCCCGCACUCCCAGCGUAGUCAAUUCACCGCUCGGAGCGCGUGGUGCCGCCCGCCAGGCGAACAACCACUAUUUUUCUAUGGUUUGACCUCGGAUCAGGUAGGGAUACCCGCUGAACUUAAG